Molecule: transfer RNA, 541 nt
Filed under: uncultured Prochlorococcus sp.
Lineage: Bacteria; Bacillati; Cyanobacteriota; Cyanophyceae; Synechococcales; Prochlorococcaceae
Description: partial 16S-23S ribosomal RNA intergenic spacer
Rfam family: tRNA (bases 212-284)
Source: RNAcentral
CAGGGAGACAACAAAAUGUUUAAUAUUAUUAUUUUGUCACCUUAGGUCGAUCGGUAUCUCACAUUCUUAAUUUAUUAAGGAUUUCAUUUCCUAAGUUUUUCUAGGUCACACCCAUUAUUUUUCCUGGGCCAUUAGCUCAGGUGGUUAGAGCGCACCCCUGAUAAGGGUGAGGUCCCUGGUUCAAGUCCAGGAUGGCCCAUAUCUCUAUGUUGGGGGUAUAGCUCAGUUGGUAGAGCGCCUGCUUUGCAAGCAGGAUGUCAGCGGUUCGAGUCCGCUUACCUCCACUGAUUACCACCUCUUCCAUAAUUUGAUGAAGGAAAUGUUUUGAGUUGUGAUCAAAUUCUGAACGAUUCUAGCUUCCUAAUGAAAUCAUUAAGAUGCUGGACUCAUUGAAUUAAUUUCAUUGUUUUCAGAGAACCUUGACAACUGCAUAGAUUAUUUUUAAAGACAAUAAGCAUCUUUAAUGAUGCAGAUUUAUUAUUUGUGCGAAUGCAUAAAAUAACAAUUCUAUUAAGCUGAUGCUUCAAUUAUUGAAGUUAUU